UGGGGAAUAUUGCACAAUGGGGGAAACCCUGAUGCAGCAACGCCGCGUGAGUGAAGAAGUAUUUCGGUAUGUAAAGCUCUAUCAGCAGGGAAGAUAAUGACGGUACCUGACUAAGAAGCUCCGGCCAAAUACGUGCCAGCAGCCGCGGUAAUACGUAUGGAGCAAGCGUUAUCCGGAUUUACUGGGUGUAAAGGGUGCGUAGGUGGCAGUGCAAGUCAGAUGUGAAAGGCCGGGGCUCAACCCCGGAGCUGCAUUUGAAACUGCAUAGCUAGAGUACAGGAGAGGCAGGCGGAAUUCCUAGUGUAGCGGUGAAAUGCAUAGAUAUCACGCAGAACCCCGAUUGCGAAGGCAGCCUGCUAGGGUGAAACAGACGCUGAGGCACGAAAGCGUGGGUAUCGAACA
This 402-nucleotide ribosomal RNA is filed under the name uncultured prokaryote. RNAcentral's name for it is "bacterial SSU rRNA". It matches the Rfam family "Bacterial small subunit ribosomal RNA", at positions 355 to 774 of the family's 1533-position model. The record is from RNAcentral.